This 391-nucleotide unclassified non-coding RNA is filed under the name plant metagenome. RNAcentral describes it as "partial contains small subunit ribosomal RNA and internal transcribed spacer 1". The record is from RNAcentral.
AAGUCGUAACAAGGUUUCCGUAGGUAGGCGCAGUUUUGCCUACAAACAGUGGGCGCCUCAGGCGCUUGCUAGUCUCUUCGGAGGCGACACGCUCAACGUGCGGAAAAAUCCUCCCAGGAGGGAAAUCCGCAGCUCCUACCCGGAGUUCAGAGACUCAAUGAGUGUGGGCUCCCCUGGAGCUUGAGAUAGAGCCCGUCCCGGCAGGCAACUGCCCGGAGCUAACGGAACCUGCGGAAGGAUCAUUAAAGAAUACAAGGCUUUCGAGCCCUAUUCUCACCCUUUGUAUAUUAACUCUGUUGCUUUGGCGGGCCUCCGGCUUCGGCUGGGUCGUGUCUGUCAGAAGGCCUAACUCUUGAAUUUUUGCAGUCUGAGUACUAUCUAAUAGUUAAAA